UCUGGUUGAUCCUGCCAGUAGUGAUAUGCUUGUUUCAAAGAUUAAGCCAUGCAUGUCUAAGUAUAAGCGAACUUAUACAGUGAAACUGCGGAUGGCUCAUUAAAACAGUUUGAAUUUAUUUGAUGAAUGUAUGAGAAUAUUACUUGGAUAACCGUAGUAAUUCUAGAGCUAAUACAUGCAACGACGCCCGACCGUUUCACUACGGAAGGGCUGUAUUUAUUGGAUACCAAAACCAUCCUUCCCUCGGGAAGUUUUGUUUGAUGAUUCACAAUAACUGAUCGGAUCGCCACUGUGGUGGCGACAGGUCAUUCAACAUUCUGCCCUAUCAGCUUUCGAUGGUUGUGUAGUGGACAACCAUGGCCAUAACGGGUAACGGAGAAUCAGGGUUCGAUUCCGGAGAAGGAGCUUGAGAAUUGGCUACUACAUCUAAGGAAGGCAGCAGGCGCGCAAAUUACCCAAUCCCGAUUCGGGGAGGUAGUGACAAAAAAUAACAAUACCGGGCCUUUUUGGGCUUGGUAAUUGGAAUGAGGGAGAGUUAAACGGACCAUCGAGUAUCCAUUGGAGGGCAAGUCUGGUGCCAGCAGCUGCGGUAAUACCAGCUCCAAUAGCGUAUAUUAAAGUUGUUGCAGUUAAAAAGCUCGUAGUUGGACUUGUGUGCGCUGUCCGCGGGUGGCCUGCGCCCAAAAGGGCGUUUCGGUUCGGCCCCGGUGGCGCCUUGAAAUCUGCAGCUGGGGGGACGUUGGCCUUAACUGGUCGGCGACCGCACGCCGGCUGCUCGGUUACUGUGAGAAAAUUAGAGUGUUCAAGGCAGGCAUUGGGUGCAAUUGAAUACAUUAGCAUGGAAUAAUAAAAUAUGGCUCCUGCCGUAUUUUGUUGGUUUUGACUGGUGGGAGUAAUGAUUGAUAGGGACGGUUGGGGGUGCUAGUAUUGAGCGGCCAGAGGUGAAAUUCAUGGAUUCGCUCAAGACUAACUUAUGCGAAAGCAUUCACCAAGGACGUCCUCUUUAAUCAAGAACGGAAGUUGGGGGAUCGAAGACGAUCAGAUACCGUCGUAGUCUCAACCAUAAACUAUGUCGACUUGGGAUCGGCGGUAGUUUUUUCAUUAAGACACUGUCGGGACCACGGGAGAAAUCAAAGUGUCUGGACUCUGGGGGAAGUAUGGUCGCAAGGCUGAAACUUGAAGGAAUUGACGGAAGGGCACCACCAGGAGUGGAGCCUGCG
This 1220-nucleotide ribosomal RNA is filed under the name metagenome. RNAcentral describes it as "SSU rRNA". It matches the Rfam family "Eukaryotic small subunit ribosomal RNA", at positions 1 to 1187 of the family's 1831-position model. The record is from RNAcentral.